ACCCGCACAAGCGGUGGAUGAUGUGGUUAAUUCGAUGCAACGCGAAAACCUUACCCACCUUUAGACAUGUACGGAAUCCUUUAGAGAUAGAGGAGUGCUCGAAAGAGAGCCGUAACACAGGUGCUGCAUGGCUGUCGUCAGCUCGUGUCGUGAGAUGUUGGGUUAAGUCCCGCAACGAGCGCAACCCUUGUCAUUAGUUGCUACAUUCAGUUGGGCACUCUAAUGAGACUGCCGGUGACAAGCCGGAGGAAGGUGGGGAUGACGUCAAGUCCUCAUGGCCUUAUAGGUGGGGCUACACACGUCAUACAAUGGCUGGUACAAAGGGUUGCCAACCCGCGAGGGGGAGCCAAUCCCAUAAAGCCAGUCGUAGUCCGGAUCGUAGUCUGCAACUCGACUACGUGAAGUCGGAAUCGCUAGUAAUGGCGGAUCAGCAUGCCGCCGUGAAUACGUUCCCGGGUCUU
This 461-nucleotide ribosomal RNA is filed under the name uncultured Acidovorax sp. RNAcentral's name for it is "bacterial SSU rRNA". It matches the Rfam family "Bacterial small subunit ribosomal RNA", at positions 919 to 1382 of the family's 1533-position model. The record is from RNAcentral. Lineage: Bacteria; Pseudomonadati; Pseudomonadota; Betaproteobacteria; Burkholderiales; Comamonadaceae.